UACGGAGGGAGCUAGCGUUGUUCGGAAUUACUGGGCGUAAAGCGCACGUAGGCGGCUUUUUAAGUCAGGGGUGAAAUCCCGGGGCUCAACCCCGGAACUGCCCUUGAAACUGGAGAGCUAGAAUCUUGGAGAGGCGAGUGGAAUUCCGAGUGUAGAGGUGAAAUUCGUAGAUAUUCGCAAGAACACCAGUGGCGAAGGCGGCUCACUGGCCCGGAACUGACGCUGAGGUGCGAAAGCGUGGGGAGCAAACAGG
RNAcentral lists this ribosomal RNA (253 nucleotides) under uncultured bacterium. Its description in RNAcentral is "partial 16S ribosomal RNA". It matches the Rfam family "Bacterial small subunit ribosomal RNA", at positions 524 to 776 of the family's 1533-position model. The record is from RNAcentral.